AAAGCUGUUGACUACUAACAAGGAAAUUAGAGUUCUUAAGUCAUCUUGUUUGCGUCUCAAUAUAGCCAGAUAACAAGCUAGCGUUUCCCCUUCGUGCAAUAAUAUAUCUUGCAGAGAAGGGGAUUGCACGAAUUUGAGGAUUGUUGUUCAGGAACAUUCUUAUUUGGUAAAUUUUGGCAAUCUUCUAAGAUCUUGGAGGAAAGUAAAUUUUUAAUUGAUAGAUAUGUUUCACCAGAGCCAGGACAUUUCUAAUUGCUUUUGUGACGUUUACUCUUCAACAAUUUAAUGAUUUUUUUCUGAAAAGAUUGUUGGAUAUAAAAAGUGCUCAUAACAACAAUGAUGUGGAAGUGGUCAAAUGAAAUGUUAAUUUUUUUCACGACAGAAACUGAUACAGAAGGCAGAAAAUAUUGUGGUUAAGUCAGAGGUCUGUAGAUAUGGAGUAACUCAUGAUUAAUGAAGAAGUAACACAUUGAAAAUGAAAUUUGAAGUUUGUAAAUCAGUUUACUUAGUACAGAGAAAGAACGAUGAUCUCACGAUAACCUCAGGAAUGAAUUAUACCAAACAUUUUGCGUCAACAAUUUCCGUACGGAUGUCGAGAAAAUGACAAAACAGCUAAGCAGUUUUCAAACGAUUUAUUUCCCUCCAGGCAGCUUUAUUUUAAAGGCAGCAGCCCUUUUCACUGACCGUUCCAGUCCCACCUUUUAACGAUCAAGCAUUUUAAUGAGGUCCAGCUGUGGUAUACAUGUUCCUGGCGGAUCCUUUCCUGUUUCGUUUCGUUUUUCCUGGUGACAGAACACUUACAGUGACGAUCGAAUUGCAAUUAUUUUGACAAUCUUUCAGAGUUGUAACAGCUAGUUUUUAACUAUAUUAUGUCCAUACAAGUGUUACAGGACCGUUACAAGAAAAGCUUUUCAAACGAUACAAGGAUUGCUCUAGAUGGACGGAAUACCUUGAUAACAGAACAUGUAUUUUAACAUAAGCAAUUCAUAGAUUGUAUUGUACUAAGAAUAUUAUUUGAUAAAACCUUAUAACAAAUGUAUGAUUAAUGAGUUUAGUUUUAAUUCAGUUUUCAUUCGAGGAAUAAGGAUAAAUCUUAAUGGCCAAGUUUUGAGUCAUAAUGUUUGAUUGAAGUUGUUUUGUGUCCGUUUUCACAAAAAGGUGCGUAUACUAAUCCUUUGUUGUUUUUUGGCAUAAUCGUAACUAAGAAUGAAACAAAACUUUCAAAUUAAACACUUAAUCAAAGUGAAGCAAACUUCUUUAUCUUACUAAUCAUUCAUGUUUCGUGAAGAGAUUAUGCACAGCAUG
Long non-coding RNA from Mya arenaria, 1305 nucleotides. RefSeq lists it as uncharacterized. The record is from RefSeq and is a predicted model, not a curated record. Lineage: Eukaryota; Metazoa; Mollusca; Bivalvia; Myida; Myidae. The transcript has 3 exons.